This 455-nucleotide ribosomal RNA is filed under the name uncultured bacterium. Its description in RNAcentral is "bacterial SSU rRNA". It matches the Rfam family "Bacterial small subunit ribosomal RNA", at positions 340 to 786 of the family's 1533-position model. The record is from RNAcentral.
UACGGAAGGCAGCAGUGGGGAAUAUUGCACAAUGGGCGCAAGCCUGAUGCAGCCAUGCCGCGUGUAUGAAGAAGGCCUUCGGGUUGUAAAGUACUUUCAGUCGUGAGGAAGGUGUUAAGGUUAAUAACCUUAGCAAUUGACGUUAGCGACAGAAGAAGCACCGGCUAACUCCGUGCCAGCAGCCGCGGUAAUACGGAGGGUGCGAGCGUUAAUCGGAAUUACUGGGCGUAAAGGGCACGCAGGCGGUUAAUUAAGUUGGAUGUGAAAUCCCCGGGCUUAACCUGGGAAUGGCAUUCAAGACUGGUUAGCUAGAGUCUUGUAGAGGGGGUAGAAUUCCAUGUGUAGCGGUGAAAUGCGUAGAGAUGUGGAGGAAUACCGGUGGCGAAGGCGGCCCCUUGGACAAAGGACUGACGCUCAUGUGCGAAAGCGUGGGGAGCAAACAGGGAUUAGAUACC